AACACAUGCAAGUCGAACGCGAAAGUCCCGCAAGGGAUAAGUAGAGUGGCAAACGGGUGAGUAACACGUGGGUGACCUGCCUUCGAGCGGGGGAUAACGUCCCGAAAGGGACGCUAAUACCGCAUAAUAUGCCGCCUUUUAACAGGUGGACAUCAAAGCUGGGGAUCGCAAGACCUAGCACUUGAAGAGGGGCCCGCGUCUGAUUAGCUAGUUGGUGGGGUAAUGGCUCACCAAGGCAACGAUCAGUAUCCGGCCUGAGAGGGCGGACGGACACACUGGGACUGAGACACGGCCCAGACUCCUACGGGAGGCAGCAGUGGGGAAUUGUUCGCAAUGGGCGCAAGCCUGACGACGCAACGCCGCGUGGAGGAUGAAGACCUUCGGGUCGUAAACUCCUUUCGAUCGAGACGAAUGGCCUUCGGGUGAACAAUCCGGAGGAGUGACGGUACCGAGAGAAGAA
RNAcentral lists this ribosomal RNA (460 nucleotides) under grassland soil clone saf2_414. RNAcentral describes it as "bacterial SSU rRNA". It matches the Rfam family "Bacterial small subunit ribosomal RNA", at positions 50 to 489 of the family's 1533-position model. The record is from RNAcentral.